ACGGAAGGCAGCAGUGGGGAAUAUUGCACAAUGGGGGAAACCCUGAUGCAGCGACGCCGCGUGAGUGAAGAAGUUAUUCGUAAUGUAAAGCUCUAUCAGCAGGGAAGAAAAUGACGGUACCUGACUAAGAAGCCCCGGCUAACUACGUGCCAGCAGCCGCGGUAAUACGUAGGGGGCAAGCGUUAUCCGGAUUUACUGGGUGUAAAGGGAGCGUAGACGGUCUGGCAAGUCUGAUGUGAAAGGCAGGGGCUCAACUCCUGGACUGCAUUGGAAACUGUCAGUCUUGAGUGCCGGAGAGGUAAGCGGAAUUCCUAGUGUAGCGGUGAAAUGCGUAGAUAUUAGGAGGAACACCAGUGGCGAAGGCGGCUUACUGGACGAUAACUGACGUUGAGGCUCGAAAGCGUGGGGAGCAAACAGGAUUAGAUACCCUGGUA
RNAcentral lists this ribosomal RNA (434 nucleotides) under uncultured Lachnospiraceae bacterium. Its description in RNAcentral is "partial 16S ribosomal RNA". It matches the Rfam family "Bacterial small subunit ribosomal RNA", at positions 341 to 792 of the family's 1533-position model. The record is from RNAcentral. Lineage: Bacteria; Bacillati; Bacillota; Clostridia; Lachnospirales; Lachnospiraceae.